RNAcentral lists this ribosomal RNA (450 nucleotides) under Bacillus sp. R-31303. RNAcentral describes it as "bacterial SSU rRNA". It matches the Rfam family "Bacterial small subunit ribosomal RNA", at positions 31 to 471 of the family's 1533-position model. The record is from RNAcentral. Lineage: Bacteria; Bacillati; Bacillota; Bacilli; Caryophanales; Bacillaceae.
GAACGCUGGCGGCGUGYCUAAUACAUGCAAGUCGAGCGGACAGAUGGGAGCUUGCUCCCUGAUGUUAGCGGCGGACGGGUGAGUAACACGUGGGUAACCUGCCUGUAAGACUGGGAUAACUCCGGGAAACCGGGGCUAAUACCGGAUGGUUGUUUGAACCGCAUGGUUCAAACAUAAAAGGUGGCUUCGGCUACCACUUACAGAUGGACCCGCGGCGCAUUAGCUAGUUGGUGAGGUAACGGCUCACCAAGGCAACGAUGCGUAGCCGACCUGAGAGGGUGAUCGGCCACACUGGGACUGAGACACGGCCCAGACUCCUACGGGAGGCAGCAGUAGGGAAUCUUCCGCAAUGGACGAAAGUCUGACGGAGCAACGCCGCGUGAGUGAUGAAGGUUUUCGGAUCGUAAAGCUCUGUUGUUAGGGAAGAACAAGUACCGUUCGAAUAGGGCG